GUCCCCAUCGUCUAGCCUGGUCCAGGACACCGGCCUUUCACGCCGAUAACAGGGGUUCAAAUCCCCUUGGGGACGCCA
Molecule: transfer RNA, 78 nt
Filed under: Desulfovibrio sp.
Lineage: Bacteria; Pseudomonadati; Thermodesulfobacteriota; Desulfovibrionia; Desulfovibrionales; Desulfovibrionaceae
Also listed under: 4 other names
Description: tRNA-Glu
Rfam family: tRNA
About the family: Transfer RNA (tRNA) molecules are approximately 80 nucleotides in length. Their secondary structure includes four short double-helical elements and three loops (D, anti-codon, and T loops).
Source: RNAcentral